GACGAACGCUGGCGGCGUGCCUAAUACAUGCAAGUCGAACGCUGAAGAGAGGAGCUUGCUCUUCUUGGAUGAGUUGCGAACGGGUGAGUAACGCGUAGGUAACCUGCCUUGUAGCGGGGGAUAACUAUUGGAAACGAUAGCUAAUACCGCAUAACAAUGGAUGACACAUGUCAUUUAUUUGAAAGGGGCAAUUGCUCCACUACAAGAUGGACCUGCGUUGUAUUAGCUAGUAGGUGAGGUAACGGCUCACCUAGGCGACGAUACAUAGCCGACCUGAGAGGGUGAUCGGCCACACUGGGACUGAGACACGGCCCAGACUCCUACGGGAGGCAGCAGUAGGGAAUCUUCGGCAAUGGGGGCAACCCUGACCGAGCAACGCCGCGUGAGUGAAGAAGGUUUUCGGAUCGUAAAGCUCUGUUGUAAGUCAAGAACGAGUGUGAGAGUGGAAAGUUUACACUGUGACGGUAGCUUACCAGAAAGGGACGGCUAACUACGUG
This 497-nucleotide ribosomal RNA is filed under the name uncultured bacterium. RNAcentral's name for it is "partial 16S ribosomal RNA". It matches the Rfam family "Bacterial small subunit ribosomal RNA", at positions 28 to 507 of the family's 1533-position model. The record is from RNAcentral.